This 465-nucleotide ribosomal RNA is filed under the name uncultured bacterium. RNAcentral's name for it is "partial 16S ribosomal RNA". It matches the Rfam family "Bacterial small subunit ribosomal RNA", at positions 338 to 795 of the family's 1533-position model. The record is from RNAcentral.
CCUACGGGUGGCAGCAGUGGGGAAUAUUGCGCAAUGGGCGAAAGCCUGACGCAGCGACGCCGCGUGAGGGAUGAAGGUCUUCGGAUCGUAAACCUCUGUCAGCAGGGAAGAACGGUCACUGUGCUAAUCAGCAGUGAAUUGACGGUACCUGCAAAGGAAGCACCGGCUAACUCCGUGCCCGCAGCCGCGGGAAUACGGAGGGUGCGAGCGGUAAUCGGAAUUACUGGGCGUAAAGCGCUCGUAGGCGGUAUGUAAAGUCAGGGGUGAAAACCCCGGGCUCAACGUGAGAAAUGCCUUUGAAACUGGCAAACUGGAGUGUGUGAGAGGAUAGGGGAAUUCCAGGUGUAGGAGUGAAAUCCGUAGAUACCUGGAGGAACAUCAGUGGCGAAGGCGACUAUCUGGCACAUAACUGACGCUGAGGAGCGAAAGCGUGGGUAGCAAACAGGAUUAGAUACCCCAGUAGUC